UGGAAACUCUGCGCCCUCCUCUUCCGAAAAAGCCGGCCAUCCGGCUUCGCCUGUCGUCUAAGCAGAGGAGAGGGGGGGGACGGGGCCGCCACGGCUCCCCCUUUCUCGACAGGGGGGUCCCCUCCGUUUCAAUCGCACUCCGGCCGCGAUCUCUCACGAGGACCCCCAAACUGAACGCGCGCUUCGUUGGCUCUCGCUCCUCUUCCUCUCCAAGGAGCGACUUGCCCGUCGAGGGAGAGAGAGAGAGUUGGUCCGCGCGGAUCUCUCUCUGUCUCUCCCGGAAAAAAGUGCUCUCUCGACAGUUUCCUGACGAGGUUUUCUCGGAAACGCUCUUCCACUUGAAGGCGGCGCUUCGUUCCGAGGACCUCAAAACCACACACAUUUUUCUCUGCUAUUGAACCUCAGACAACCCUGUGAAGUAGACCGAGAGUUGGUGAUUGGCCCAAUAUCAACUGGUUGAAAGCAAGGGGCAUCUCUGUUGCCCAGAACUAAGAGGAUACUCAGAGAAACACACCAGGAACAUUCUCUCAUUGACUGACCACCAAGUUAAUCAGCUGGGGGGAGAGACGCAAAUCAGACAUGCCCCACCCCAAACAGAACACUUCCUGCAUUUGAUGAAGGAGAGUGAUUGAAGAACAUGGGAAGCUGCCUCACACCGAGUCACAGCACCGAGCUCAGUAUUGUUGGUACUCGCUGGCAGCAACUUUUUUCAGAGACAGGACAUACCCAGGUCUACCGGGGGAUGUUGGAGAUUCAACUUGGAGUCUUCUGCAUGCAAAGCUCUACCCCUGAGCGACGAUGACCUUUCCCUAGGUAGAAAGCAUGAAUCCACCAAAUAAACUAUCUGA
Zootoca vivipara (common lizard) is the source of this 848-nucleotide long non-coding RNA. RefSeq lists it as uncharacterized. The record is from RefSeq and is a predicted model, not a curated record. NCBI's taxonomy places the organism in Eukaryota, Metazoa, Chordata, Lepidosauria, Squamata, Lacertidae.